Non-coding RNA from Bos taurus (domestic cattle), 72 nucleotides. Lineage: Eukaryota; Metazoa; Chordata; Mammalia; Artiodactyla; Bovidae. The record is from Rfam.
UCCCUCAUGGUUUAGUGGUAAAGAAUCUGCCUGCCAGUGCAGGAGACAUAGGUUCAAUCCCUGAUCAGGGAA